Molecule: long non-coding RNA, 1050 nt
Organism: Cyprinus carpio (common carp)
Lineage: Eukaryota; Metazoa; Chordata; Actinopteri; Cypriniformes; Cyprinidae
Exons: 3
Source: RefSeq, a predicted model, not a curated record
AGAGGCAGGAGCUGUGGGAGAGACAGCUGAAGUUGCUGCAGCACAGCCUCACUGCUCACCGUCCAGAGCACUGGAUCACUGGAGACGAGGAGGACGCGGGCGACAUGGAGGAAGAGAUUUCUGAGGAACAGAUACAGACAAUGGCUGUAAUAGAGGGCAUUACAAUUGUUUCUACAGUCUCUGUAGACAUUUUGCAGGAAAAUGACACUUACACUUCUCUUCUUGAAUGUGCCCAGAUGCUAAACAGUAUAGAGAGCACUUUGCCACUGUCACACACACCCCUCCAGCAGGCUGUUCAUUGGCUGUUUGAAUGCUGGUGGAGACGGUAUCUAAAAGGGAAGGAGGAGCUUGGAUGGACUGCUUUCCUUGUCUGUUUAGAGAAUACUGUUACACUUGAGAAACCAGUACUAGAACAACUUUAUAUCCAUUAUAUAUAAUAAUAAACAGGCAGAUCAUUUGAUAUUCUAUAUUGUGGAUGAAAAGUGUUCAUGUUCUGGGUAUGUUCCCAGGUCAGUGAGCUCAGAAGGCUCUGUACUCUACGAGAGGUGCAUCUGAGAGAGGGUAGCAGGUCAUUGAUCCUCUCCUCCAGUGUUUCUUUAGGGUCUCUCAUAUUAAAUAAGAAGAGGUUUGUGAAUAUGUGUUUGUGGGCUCAUACAUCUGAGACAUUAUUUUCCACUGUAGAUCAUUUUUAUAUAAUUUUGUUUAUUGCUUAUUUUUCAGGGGAAACAGUUCCUUGCCUUCCUUUUUUCUUGGAACGAUAACUUCAUUCGGAUGAUUCAUGAAACUAUUAAGAAUCAGCUGCAGUUUUUCCCAAAGUAUUUCAAACACUCAUGACCUCUUGUUUUAUAAUGCCGUGCUUUGUAACUUUGUUUAUGUUAAGAGACAAUACGAAGGGGAGACAGGCCACUUGUAGUAUGAAACAGAAAACCUGCUAAUCUCAAUAUAUAAAGUCGUGGCCAAAAGUUUUGAGAAUUAUAUAAAUAUUAGUUUUCAAAAAGUUUGCUGCUAAACUGCUUUUAGAUCUUUGUUUCAGUUGUUUCUGUGAUGUAC